GGGCCCCGGCGGGAGAGCGCAGCGAAGAAGGUACCUCGGGGCUGAGAUCUCAUGCCAAUCUCUCGGGCUUUACCCCAUUUCCAGCACAUCGUUUCGCAUUAGGGACACUCUUCGCCUCCAAACCUAGAGUCCUGCGCAUCUACGUGUCUUUCCAAAGCAAGUGACUAAAGCGUCUACUGGCCUUCCGUGGCUCAGCAUAUCCCUUUGGACCUGAUGGAUAAAGAAAGGAGCCAUAUGCCUCUUAGUCAUAAAAAGAGAGCAUUCGAAGGACCAUUCAAGCAAAUACGUCUAAGCCACUGAGAUAUUGUUAAUUGGCGAAGACAGAUGCAGAGAGGAGCUCAGACAGAAGGAGCUGAGAUUUUCUAUUCCUCAUCUGAAGGUGCCUGGGUUCCAGGAGAUCCACCCCGGAAACCUGGCCAAUUAGCUGUCGAUGUCGCUCAAGAUCAAAACACCACCUUUUUGAAGAUUACAGUCCAGAGUUUUAUAGACGGUCCUUCAGUUUGGUUCACCUAGUGUUUCCUCAUACUAUGGUUCUGGGUGCCUUUGUACCUAAGAGACAGUCAUGAACAGAAUUUGCAAUGGAAAUACACUGGAGGAAACACACUGGAGGAAAAUACACAUUCUCUGAAAUUUGAAGCCAAAGAAAAGCUUCCAGAGAAAGAAAAUGAGAAAGUCUCAAGAAUUAAAUGGAGUUGUCAUAAAAAAAGAGAGAAGGGCAGAAAGAGAGACAUUCUGCAAGUACAAGGCAUGGAAAUAAGAGCCAGCUCUGCAUAUUCAACGACCGUCAAGUUCAGUGUUGACAGGAACAAAGCACUGGGGUAGAAAUGGUGGCCACAGACAAGACUGGGAAGGCAGCUUUACACCAAGCUUAAAAAGCUUCUUGUGCUCUGCUGGAGUCUAGAUUCCAUCUAGUUGGCAUUGGGAAACCCUGGUUAUUUUACGCAAGGCAGUGACAGGGUCUGAUUUACUUUUCUCUAAGGUCAUUCUGAGCAUAUGCAUGUUUUCUUUCUCCAAUAGAAUCAUAAGGAUACACUUAUCAGGAAUCAGAUCUUGACUUUUUUUGGUAUCACCAACUGGGCUUAGCAGAGUCAGGGAUGCUUGUUUAGAGAGAAACUAAACCCUGGUAGGAAAAGGUUAAGAUCUCAAGGAAGACAAGACUUGGGCCAAGGCAGAUUGAGGGGAGAUGUCAAUACUCAGAGAAACCACAGCCACAGAAUUAUAAGGACUUGAAGGACCAUUUACAACUCUGGUGGCUUUUCUGAGCUUUGUUGAGUAAAAGGCAAGGAAACAUGACAUCGCAGAGGUCCUUACGGUACAGAGAAAAAGGAUUCUCAUACAAGCUGCUUAGAAGAACAAAUUACUGCUAAUUACCAGGAUGUUUAAUGGAGAUCAAUCUGAUAGUUUUGUGCAAGAAGGAUUGAAGUAAAUGAAGCUGGGGCCGGGCAGAUCCGUCAGGAAGUUGGACAGCAACUCAGGCUCCUGUGGGUUUGAAUUCUGAAUGGCCGUGGUAAUGGCGGAAAUAGAAGAGAAGAGGAUGAAUCCGCGAACCCUGGAGAAGAAGAUCAACCCACUGGAAAUUAUCCGCCCUGAGAAGGGCAAGGGAAAGGCAGUGUCAAAGACAACCGCGGGUUUUUAGGUGAGAGGUGGCAGGCGAAAAGCGCGGUUGGUGGUGCCCGUGGCAGAAAUGAGGAUGUUAGGAAAGAGAUCACGUUUGGGGAGUGGCAUGGGGUUUAUAAUACAGAAUUUUAUUGGCUUUUGUUUCUGGGAGAUUCUAAAUCCUUGAACUACCCCAAUUUAUGAAGAGCGUCUUUUUGAUGUUUAUAAACUUACAAACGCAGUCCCUAGAUAAUUUUAGUAUUGGAGCUGGUCACAAAAAAGGCCAGCCCAGUUGAUGAGAUUGUUGCGAUUUUGAGAUGUCUUUUGACUUCCGGGGCAUGGAAGAGGGUGAAAAAUCAGUUCAAUCAGUCAUGUUCCUGUAAUGAAACCCCAAUAAAAACUCUGGACCA
This 2006-nucleotide long non-coding RNA is filed under the name Sus scrofa (pig). RNAcentral's name for it is "lncRNA (ENSSSCG00045009980.1)". Lineage: Eukaryota; Metazoa; Chordata; Mammalia; Artiodactyla; Suidae. The record is from RNAcentral.